This 1007-nucleotide long non-coding RNA is filed under the name Monodelphis domestica (gray short-tailed opossum). Its description in RNAcentral is "lncRNA (ENSMODG00000044715.1)". Lineage: Eukaryota; Metazoa; Chordata; Mammalia; Didelphimorphia; Didelphidae. The record is from RNAcentral.
AAUUGAAACAUUUAAAAACCUGCUUUUCAAUCCCAGUUAUUCCAGAAAAGUUACUAUUUUUAUAGUUCAUUCAGGAUUAAAUAAAAAAUGCUCAGAAAGCAUCAGAAGGCCCCUCUUAAAUUACUAACAAUAAACCAUUGGCUUUUUCAGGCAAUUGCUAACUUUUACCCAGGAAAGGGGGAAGAACAAGACUGGAGACACAAAUGUGAUUUGUUCUGGGAUGGAGAGGAUGAAUUUCUGCAAAAGCUCUCUUUUAUCUUUGAAGCAGACCCAGCGGAGAUCUACACAUUUCACCAUUUGAGACGCUUUUUGGACAUUCCCCUAAACAGGCUAAGUCUUUUUCUUCUUUUUCUCCUGCAUACACAUCAUUACUGGGGGGGAGUGGGGAGGGAGGAGACACUUCUAUUCCUUAAUAUAUACAGGACUUACAGACCAAAUUGUGAGAACUCCAUGAAUCCAGACCUGUUGUACAAGCAAGACCUAUAGAUAUCUUCUUGCUCCAUGACCUACAUCCAGAAGACAAGGUAUAUAUAAAGAACUUCCAGUGCCCUGGAGGAACGCAGCCUUCCUGGGAAGGUCUAUUGCAAGUCCUGCUAACCACUCCAACAGCUAUCAAACUUUGAGAAAAGGACUCUUGGAUUCAUUGCUCACAUGUAAAAUGGGCAUUUUCUAUCAACACUGAUUAAUUGUAUCCUGUAAUGCAAUUAAAAAAUGUUUUACUCCUCCUAUUGUAUAAUUAGAAUCUGUUACUCUAAAAACUAUGUUUCCCAGCAAAACUACAAUCUCUCGCAAAACUAUGAUUCCCAGAACCCUAACCCAACUCACUUCCUGUUGUUACGUGCUGAUGUAGACAGGACAUACAUUGAGUGGAGGUUCUUCUCUCUCUCUUUCCUUCCUGUCACAGCUUUGGUGGAGUGGGGACUUUUUGAGUAGGUAGAAAAACUUAGUCAUGUGGUUCUAUUUUGUUAGCUAAUAAAUUUUAUAAAAUACAAUAUUUGAAGUAUUAC